CCUACGGGAGGCAGCAGUGAGGAAUAUUGGUCAAUGGUCGGGAGACUGAACCAGCCAAGCCGCGUGAGGGAGGAAGGUACAGAGUAUCGUAAACCUCUUUUGUCAGGGAACAAAGUCGGGGACGUGUCCCCUGAUGAGUGUACCUGAAGAAAAAGCAUCGGCUAACUCCGUGCCAGCAGCCGCGGUAAUACGGAGGAUGCGAGCGUUAUCCGGAUUGAUUGGGUUUAAAGGGUGCGCAGGCGGUCUGGUAAGUCAGCGGUCAAAGCCCGGGGCUCAACCCCGGCCCGCCGUUGAAACUGGCAGUCUGGAGUGGGGGAGAGGUAUGCGGAAUGCGCGGUGUAGCGGUGAAAUGCAUAGAUAUCGCGAAGAACUCCGAUUGCGAAGGCAGCAUGCCGGCUCCAAACUGACGCUGAGGCACGAAAGCGUGGGUAUCGAACAGGAUUAGAUACCCCAGUAGUC
Molecule: ribosomal RNA, 459 nt
Filed under: uncultured bacterium
Lineage: Bacteria
Description: partial 16S ribosomal RNA
Rfam family: Bacterial small subunit ribosomal RNA
Source: RNAcentral